This 264-nucleotide ribosomal RNA is filed under the name Vibrio parahaemolyticus. RNAcentral describes it as "partial 23S ribosomal RNA". It matches the Rfam family "Bacterial large subunit ribosomal RNA", at positions 1446 to 1710 of the family's 2925-position model. The record is from RNAcentral. Lineage: Bacteria; Pseudomonadati; Pseudomonadota; Gammaproteobacteria; Vibrionales; Vibrionaceae.
UCUUACAAUUGCGAUGGGGGGACGGAGAAGGCUAGGUGGGCCUGGCGACGGUUGUCCAGGUUCAAGUGCGUAGGCUUGAGAGUUAGGUAAAUCCGGCUCUUUUUAAGGCUGAGACACGACGUCGAGCCACUACGGUGGUGAAGUCAUUGAUGCCAUGCUUCCAGGAAAAGCCUCUAAGCUUCAGAUUGUAAGGAAUCGUACCCCAAACCGACACAGGUGGUCGGGUAGAGAAUACCAAGGCGCUUGAGAGAACUCGGGUGAAGG